ACUGGUGGGCUAGCUAACUAGCAGA
Molecule: unclassified non-coding RNA, 25 nt
Filed under: Mus musculus (house mouse)
Lineage: Eukaryota; Metazoa; Chordata; Mammalia; Rodentia; Muridae
Description: oocyte_clustered_small_RNA1747
Source: RNAcentral